GUAGCCUUUCUUUGCUCUCUUUUUCUCACUCUUCCCCACACACUGACACAGUCACACGGUAGAAAGACAAGAAAACACGCACACGACUGUUGAGUGACCCCUUUCCCCCUUCUUCUUCAAAGUCAAGAAAACCCACCAAAUUUUCGUUCUAAUUUGGAAAACCCAGAAAAUCCCUAAUCCUACUUUUCAUUUUCCUUCUUGUUUUAGGGAUGAAUCUCCGUUCUCGAGCUUCAAAAGGAAAAGAUAUUGUUCAAUAUAUAGAGAGCUCUGAUGAUGAUGAACAAGGCUGUACAGAUUCUUCGGAUUCUGACAUUUAUAUAAUAAGUGAUUGUGAAGAUGAAGUAUGUAUGCACAUGUUGGAUGAGCAUGAGGGAAAGGAUAUUCCAGACAUAAAUCUUGAACCAACUUUUGAGAUUUCUGACGAUGAUAUCCAGGAUAAGGUGUCAAAGAGGAGGAAAGUGGGGCCUGUGAAAAGGAGGGGAAGGCGGAGGAACAAAAACUUGGAUGUGGUCCUUGUAAGUGUUGACAGAGAUAGAGAGUGCAAUCAGAUGGAUACUGUUUUUGAGGAUGUAGCUGAUCAAUCUGAGGAGAAAAGUUUGAAAAGGAAGAGUAAAGGGCAUAAGAGGCCAAUAUUAGUGUGGGAAGUAUUGCAACAUGAAAUUGAGAGAUGGAUUAAGGAGAAUGAAGCUAAUGAUGUUGACUUGAGUAACCAGAAUGAAAUUUUGGCAGAAACUGUUGAGCCACCUGCCAAUUUGAUUAUACCACUGCUCAGGUACCAGAAGGAGUGGUUAGCUUGGGCACUAAAGCAAGAGGAGUCCACCACAAGAGGAGGCAUUCUUGCCGAUGAAAUGGGGAUGGGAAAGACAGCCCAAGCAAUUGCACUAGUUGUGGCUAAACAGGAGAUCCAAAAGGCAAUCAGUGAACCCAGUUUAGUAGCAUCUGCUCCCAGUUCCUCCAGCACAUUUCCAGCAGUCAAAGGCACUCUCGUAAUAUGUCCAUUGGUGGCAGUGGUUCAAUGGGUAAGUGAAAUUGACCGUUUCACCACAAAAGGUAGCAAUAAGGUUCUUGUUUAUCAUGGAUCAAACAGGGGAAGGAAUAUUGACCAGUUUUCCGAAUAUGAUUUUGUUAUUACCACCUAUUCCAUAGUAGAGGCUGAGUACCGGAGAAAUGUGAUGCCACCUAAACAUAAAUGCCAGUGGUGUGGAAAGUUACUUUAUGAGCACAAGAUGUCUGUUCACCUGAAGUAUUUUUGUGGGCCUGAUGCAAUCAAAACGGCUAAGCAGUCAAAGCAACAGAGAAAGAAGUCAAAUUCAAAAACAACAACCUCGAAGCAGAACUUAGAGUUUGAUGAAGAUGAUGCCUUUGAUUCGAAUGGUGAUAUGCAAAAGCGAGGUCGUAAGAAGGGUGCAAAGACUUCGAAUGGGAUCGGAGGGUCAGGAAAUGCUUUCGCUUAUGGUAUUCCAGCGGAUAUUGGAGAGUCAUCUUCUACAAAGAAAUCUAUCUUGCAUUCUGUGAAAUGGGAGCGCAUCAUUCUGGAUGAGGCUCAUUACAUAAAAGAUCGACGCUCUAGUACUACAAGAGCGGUGUUUGGUUUACAAUCUUUGUACAAAUGGGCACUCAGUGGUACUCCACUCCAGAAUCGUGUUGGUGAACUCUACUCCCUUGUACGCUUCUUGGAGAUAGUUCCUUACUCUUAUUACUACUGCAAGGACUGUGAUUGCCGAUCACUUGACUACAGCACCUCAACUGAUUGUCCACACUGCCCCCAUAAAUCUGUCAGGCACUUUUGCUGGUGGAACAGACAUGUUGCUUCUCCAAUAAAAUAUGCUGGAAAUCUUGGGGAAGGGAGAAAAGCAAUGCUGUUGCUGAAGCAUAGGAUUUUAAAAAGCAUAGUGUUAAGACGUACUAAAAAAGGCAGGGCUGCUGAUCUGGCACUUCCCCCUAGGAUUGUUACCCUGAGGCGGGAUGAACUUGAUAUCAAAGAAGAAGAUUAUUAUACAUCACUAUAUAAUGAAAGUCAGGCACAAUUUAAUACAUAUAUUGAAGCAAAUACUUUGAUGAAUAACUAUGCCCACAUAUUUGAUCUUCUCACACGCCUGCGGCAGGCUGUUGAUCAUCCUUACCUUGUGGUGUACUCUAGCACAGCUGCUGGAAGAGGUGGAAGCAUAAGGAAUGCUCCCAGUGGUGAAGUAUGUGGCUUAUGUCAUGAGAAUGCUGAAGAUGCUGUGGUGACUUCAUGCACUCAUGUAUUUUGCAAGUCUUGUUUAAUUGAUUUCUCCGCUAGCAUGGGACAGAUAUCAUGCCCAUCUUGUGCAAAACUGCUUACUGUGGACUUCACAGGAAACAAGGAAAAUGAGGAUCAGAUGCCUAAAACAACUAUUAAAGGAUUUAAGCCAUCAAGUAUUAUUAAUAGAAUCCGGCUGGAUGAUUUCCAGACAAGCACAAAAAUAGAUGCUUUGAGGGAAGAAAUCAGAUUUAUGGUUGAAAGGGAUGGGUCUGCAAAGGGAAUUGUUUUUAGCCAAUUCACGUCAUUUUUAGAUCUGAUACAUUACUCCCUCCAGAAGGUACCCUUUUGCAGUCUGGGGUUAGUUGUGUUCAAUUAGAUGGAUCAAUGUCUAUGACUGCUAGAGAUGCUGCUAUAAAACGAUUUACUGAAGAUCCUGAUUGCAGAAUAUUUUUAAUGAGUCUCAAAGCAGGAGGUGUUGCACUCAACCUCACUGUGGCAUCUCAUGUUUUUUUGAUGGAUCCGUGGUGGAAUCCUGCAGUUGAAAGGCAAGCCCAGGAUAGAAUUCACCGAAUUGGACAGUUUAAACCAAUCAGAAUUGUGAGGUUUGUUAUCAAGGAUACAGUUGAGGAGAGAAUCUUAAAGUUGCAAGAGAAGAAGGAACUGGUCUUUGAAGGGACUGUGGGUGGCUCUUCAGAGGCUUUAGCAAAACUGACGGAGGCAGAUCUCAGAUUCCUGUUUCUUACUUGAGCAAAGACCCCAAUUUGCAAUCCAUGUAAUGCUUUUUGGUGGGUUUCUCCCAACUGUCUUAUUUUGUAAGCAUCUUAAUAGACUUUGGAACUACCAAAACUCGACCGCAUAGCUGCUGUUAAGUUUGUCCUUCUGGGCAACUGCUUUUAAUCUAUCCCUAGAACCUGGUCAUACCAUGAAACCUGUCCUUUUCUUGUUUGUGAUAUUGGAAAUUUGAACUUGAAAUAGCCUGUUUGCUAUUCAGCUAUCGAAUGUGAAUGAUUGUGUUUGGACAA
This is an RNA transcript of Coffea arabica (coffee), 3249 nucleotides long. It is a transcript of the gene named DNA repair protein RAD16, with no coding region annotated. The record is from RefSeq and is a predicted model, not a curated record. Lineage: Eukaryota; Viridiplantae; Streptophyta; Magnoliopsida; Gentianales; Rubiaceae.